RNAcentral lists this ribosomal RNA (245 nucleotides) under uncultured bacterium. RNAcentral describes it as "partial small subunit ribosomal RNA". It matches the Rfam family "Bacterial small subunit ribosomal RNA", at positions 26 to 285 of the family's 1533-position model. The record is from RNAcentral.
AGAAUCAACGCUGGCGGCGUGCCUAACACAUGCAAGUCGCACGAGAAAGGGUAGCAAUACCUGAGUACAGUGGCGCACGGGUGAGUAACACGUGACUAAUCUACCUUUGAGUGGGGAAUAACCUGGGGAAACCCGGGCUAAUACCGCAUAAUACCUACGGGUCAAAGCAGCAAUGCGCUUAAAGAGGAGGUCGCGGUCGAUUAGUUAGUUGGCGGGGUAAUGGCCCACCAAGACGAUGAUCGAUA